RNAcentral lists this microRNA precursor (142 nucleotides) under Dasypus novemcinctus (nine-banded armadillo). RNAcentral describes it as "miRNA (ENSDNOG00000026341.1)". The record is from RNAcentral. Lineage: Eukaryota; Metazoa; Chordata; Mammalia; Cingulata; Dasypodidae.
UCCUCAGACUUUAGAGAGCUAAGAAUCAUUUAGGGAUAAUGGUUAGAUUCAUGGGCACCCUUCCAACCUGGGAUUCAGAUUCUCUUAAAGUGGGGUUCAGGAAUCUGCAUUUUUAAAAGCACCCAAGCAAUUCUGAUGUUGG